RNAcentral lists this ribosomal RNA (478 nucleotides) under uncultured bacterium. RNAcentral describes it as "bacterial SSU rRNA". It matches the Rfam family "Bacterial small subunit ribosomal RNA", at positions 9 to 523 of the family's 1533-position model. The record is from RNAcentral.
GAGUUUGAUCAUGGCUCAGGAUGAACGCUGGCGGCAUGCCUAACACAUGCAAGUCGAUCGGUAAGGCCCUUCGGGGUACACGAGAGGCGGACGGCUGAGUAACGCGUAGGAACGCACCCCACAGCGAGGGAUAAGGUACCGAAAGGUGCUCUAAUACCGCAUACGGUCUUCGGAUUAAAGCAUUUAUGCGCUGAGGGAGCGGCCUGCGUCAUAUUAGAUAGUUGGUGAGGUAAUGGCUUACCAAGUCGAUGAUGUGUAACUGGUCUGAGAGGAUGAUCAGUCAGACUGGAACUGAAAUACGGUCCAGACUCCUACGGGAGGCAGCAGUGAGGAAUAUUUCACAAUGAGCGAAAGCUUGAUGGAGCAAUGCCGCGUGCGGGAUGAAGGCCUUCGGGUUGUAAACCGCUUUUAUAAGAGAAGAUUAUGACGGUAACUUAUGAAUAAGGGACGGCUAACUACGUGCCAGCAGCCGCGGUAA